GGCCCUUGGAGGAGUUGAUUCACUGAACACUCACAAUGAGGGAGGGAGCUCUUUCCCAAGAGACCGUGUGGGAGCCAGGGCUGAGGAAGUUGGGACUCAACUCAAGGUCCUGCUGAAGAUAUCAAAAAAUAACCUAUUUACAAACACGAUUUUUAAAAUGGCAAUCCAACUCAACACCCAAAGA
RNAcentral lists this long non-coding RNA (184 nucleotides) under Zalophus californianus (California sea lion). RNAcentral describes it as "lncRNA (ENSZCAG00015011878.1)". Lineage: Eukaryota; Metazoa; Chordata; Mammalia; Carnivora; Otariidae. The record is from RNAcentral.